Molecule: ribosomal RNA, 474 nt
Filed under: uncultured bacterium
Lineage: Bacteria
Description: bacterial SSU rRNA
Rfam family: Bacterial small subunit ribosomal RNA
Source: RNAcentral
ACUCCUACGGGAGGCAGCAGUAGGGAAUCUUCCACAAUGGGCGCAAGCCUGAUGGAGCAACACCGCGUGAGUGAAGAAGGGUUUCGGCUCGUAAAGCUCUGUUGUUAAAGAAGAACACGUAUGAGAGUAACUGUUCAUACGUUGACGGUAUUUAACCAGAAAGUCACGGCUAACUACGUGCCAGCAGCCGCGGUAAUACGUAGGUGGCAAGCGUUAUCCGGAUUUAUUGGGCGUAAAGAGAGUGCAGGCGGUUUUCUAAGUCUGAUGUGAAAGCCUUCGGCUUAACCGGAGAAGUGCAUCGGAAACUGGAUAACUUGAGUGCAGAAGAGGGUAGUGGAACUCCAUGUGUAGCGGUGGAAUGCGUAGAUAUAUGGAAGAACACCAGUGGCGAACGGCGGCUACCUGGUCUGCAACUGACGCUGAGACUCGAAAGCAUGGGUAGCGAACAGGAUUAGAUACCCUGGUAGGAUAGCG